UGGGGUGUCGUCUAAUGGCAGGACAGCGGUUUCUGGUGCCGUAUGUGGAGGUUCGACUCCUUCCACCCCAGCCA
RNAcentral lists this transfer RNA (74 nucleotides) under Actinomycetes bacterium. RNAcentral's name for it is "tRNA-Gln". It matches the Rfam family "tRNA". Rfam says of the family: Transfer RNA (tRNA) molecules are approximately 80 nucleotides in length. Their secondary structure includes four short double-helical elements and three loops (D, anti-codon, and T loops). Lineage: Bacteria; Bacillati; Actinomycetota; Actinomycetes. The record is from RNAcentral.